Molecule: ribosomal RNA, 398 nt
Filed under: uncultured bacterium
Lineage: Bacteria
Description: bacterial SSU rRNA
Rfam family: Bacterial small subunit ribosomal RNA
Source: RNAcentral
GGAAUCUUGCACAAUGGGCGAAAGCCUGAUGCAGCAACGCCGCGUGCGGGAUGAAGGCCUUAGGGUUGUAAACCGCUUUCAGCAGGGAAGAAACUGACGGUACCUGCAGAAGAAGGUGCGGCCAACUCAGUGCCCGCAGCCGCGGUGACACGUAGGCCCCAAGCGUUGUCCGGAUUUAUUGGGCGUAAAGAGCUCGUAGGCGGUUCGGUAAGUCGGGUGUGAAAACUCUGGGCUCAACCCAGAGAGGCCACCCGAUACUGCUGUGACUCGAGUGCGGUAGGGGAGCGGGGAAUUCCUGGUGUAGCGGUGAAAUGCGCAGAUAUCAGGAGGAACACCAGUGGCGAAGGCGCCGCUCUGGGCCGUAACUGACGCUGAGGAGCGAAAGCGUGGGUAGCAAA